Erinaceus europaeus (western European hedgehog) is the source of this 103-nucleotide small nuclear RNA. The record is from Ensembl. NCBI's taxonomy places the organism in Eukaryota, Metazoa, Chordata, Mammalia, Eulipotyphla, Erinaceidae.
CUGCUUCAGCAGCACAUAUAUUAAAAUUGGAAUGAUACAGAGAAGACUAGCAUGGCCUCUGUGUAAGGAUGACAAGCAAAUUUGUGAAGUGUUCCAUAUUUUU